UGGAAGUGCAGGAUUCACUCCCCUCCUGCGACCUAGGCAGGCAUGAGGGUGUGAUGGCCGCGCAUUCGCCAGACGAGAGCGAUGGCUGAGAACGCCGCACCAGGUCUGAUCUCAGAGCUGAAGCUGGCUGUGCCCUGGGGCCACAUCGCAGCCAAAGCCUGGGGCCCUGCAGGGCCCUCCCGUUCUCUGCCUGCACGGCUGGCUGGACAAUGCCAACUCCUUCAACAGACUCAUCCCUCUUCUCCCGCAAGACUUUUAUUACGUUGCCAUGGAUUUCGGAGGUCAUGGGCUCUCGUCCCAUUACAGCCCAGGUGUCCCAUAUUACCUCCAGACUUUUGUGAGUGAGAUCCGAAGAGUUGCGGCAGCCUUGAAAUGGAAUCGAUUCUCCAUUCUGGGCCACAGCUUCGGUGGCGUCGUGGGUGGAAUGUUUUCCUGUACCUUCCCCGAGAUGGUGGAUAAACUUGUCUUGCUGGACAUGCCGCUCUUUCUCCUGGAAUCAGAUGAAAUGGAGAACUUGCUGACCUACAAGCGGAGAGCCAUACAGCACGUGCUGCAGGUAGAGGCCUCCCAGGAGCCCUCGCACGCGUUCAGCCUGAAGCAGCUGCUGCAGAGGUAGAGAACAGCACUUCCUCAGCAGGGAGCUGUGUGUGCAUUCCAUCAGGAAGCUGCAGGCCCAUGUCCUGUUGAUCAAAGCAGUCCACGGAUAUUUUGAUCCAAGAGAGAAUUACUCUGACAAGGAGUCCCUGUCGUUCAUGAUAGACACGAUGAAAUCCACCCUCAAAGAGGACUACUUCGGAUACAAUCACAGCAACCCUGGCCUCGGCCCUGCCCUGUCCCUGCCAUGCAGCUUCACAACUCAGCUGGCCUAGACCCCUGAGAGGCCUCCAAGUCCCUAGGCGGUUCCAGUUUGUGGAAGUCCCAGGCAAUCACUGUGUCCACAUGAGCGAACCCCAGCACGUGGCCAGUAUCAUCAGCUCCUUCUUACAGUGCACACACACGCUCCCAGCCCAGCUGUAGCUCUGGGCCUGGAACUAUGAAGACCUAGUGCUCCCAGACUCAACACUGGGACUCUGAGUUCCUGAGCCCCACAACAAGGCCAGGGAUGGUGGGGACAUGCCUCACUAGUCUUGAGGCCCAGCCUAGGAUGGUAGUCAGGGGAAGGAGUGAGAUUCCAACUUCAACAUCUGUGACCUCAAGGGGGAGACAGAGUCUGGGUUCCAGGGCUGCUUUCUCCUGGCUAAUAAUCUCCAGCCAGCUGGAGGAAGGAAGGGCGGGCUGGGCGCACCUAGCCUUUCCCUGCUGCCCAACUGGAUGGAAAAUAAAAGGUUCUUGUAUUCUCA
Molecule: non-coding RNA, 1340 nt
Filed under: Pan troglodytes (chimpanzee)
Lineage: Eukaryota; Metazoa; Chordata; Mammalia; Primates; Hominidae
Source: RNAcentral